UACGGGAGGCAGCAGUAGGGAACCCUACGGGAGGCAGCAGUGGGGAAUAUUGCACAAUGGGGGAAACCCUGAUGCAGCAACGCCGCGUGAGUGAUGAAGGUUUUCGGAUCGUAAAGCUCUGUCUUUGGGGAAGAUAAUGACGGUACCCAAGGAGGAAGCCACGGCUAACUACGUGCCAGCAGCCGCGGUAAAUGUACGUGCCAGCAGCCGCGGUAAUA
RNAcentral lists this ribosomal RNA (218 nucleotides) under Clostridium perfringens. Its description in RNAcentral is "partial 16S ribosomal RNA". It matches the Rfam family "Bacterial small subunit ribosomal RNA", at positions 316 to 537 of the family's 1533-position model. Lineage: Bacteria; Bacillati; Bacillota; Clostridia; Eubacteriales; Clostridiaceae. The record is from RNAcentral.